This 21-nucleotide non-coding RNA is filed under the name Caenorhabditis elegans. The record is from RNAcentral. Lineage: Eukaryota; Metazoa; Nematoda; Chromadorea; Rhabditida; Rhabditidae.
UUUUCAGUUGGAAUUUGACAU